AUUGAACACUGGCGGCAGGCCUAACACAUGCAAGUCGAACGGUAACAGGAAGAAGCUUGCUUCUUUGCUGACGAGUGGCGGACGGGUGAGUAAUGUCUGGGAAACUGCCUGAUGGAGGGGGAUAACUACUGGAAACGGUAGCUAAUACCGCAUAACGUCGCAAGACCAAAGAGGGGGACCUUCGGGCCUCUUGCCAUCGGAUGUGCCCAGAUGGGAUUAGCUAGUAGGUGGGGUAACGGCUCACCUAGGCGACGAUCCCUAGCUGGUCUGAGAGGAUGACCAGCCACACUGGAACUGAGACACGGUCCAGACUCCUACGGGAGGCAGCAGUGGGGAAUAUUGCACAAUGGGCGCAAGCCUGAUGCAGCCAUGCCGCGUGUAUGAAGAAGGCCUUCGGGUUGUAAAGUACUUUCAGCGGGGAGGAAGGGAGUAAAGUUAAUACCUUUACUCAUUGACGUUACCCGCAGAAGAAGCACCGGCUAACUCCGUG
Molecule: ribosomal RNA, 490 nt
Filed under: uncultured bacterium
Lineage: Bacteria
Description: partial 16S ribosomal RNA
Rfam family: Bacterial small subunit ribosomal RNA
Source: RNAcentral